Molecule: ribosomal RNA, 589 nt
Filed under: uncultured Lactococcus sp.
Lineage: Bacteria; Bacillati; Bacillota; Bacilli; Lactobacillales; Streptococcaceae
Description: bacterial SSU rRNA
Rfam family: Bacterial small subunit ribosomal RNA
Source: RNAcentral
UGGGAGGCAGCAGUAGGGAAUCUUCGGCAAUGGACGCAAGUCUGACCGAGCAACGCCGCGUGAGUGAAGAAGGUUUUCGGAUCGUAAAACUCUGUUGUUAGAGAAGAACGUCAGUGAGAGUGGAAAGUUCACUGAGUGACGGUAUCUAACCAGAAAGGGACGGCUAACUACGUGCCAGCAGCCGCGGUAAUACGUAGGUCCCGAGCGUUGUCCGGAUUUAUUGGGCGUAAAGCGAGCGCAGGUGGUUUAAUAAGUCUGAUGUAAAAGGCAGUGGCUCAACCAUUGUGUGCAUUGGAAACUGUUAGACUUGAGUGCAGUAGAGGAGAGUGGAAUUCCAUGUGUAGCGGUGAAAUGCGUAGAUAUAUGGAGGAACACCGGUGGCGAAAGCGGCUCUCUGGACUGUAACUGACACUGAGGCUCGAAAGCGUGGGUAGCAAACAGGAUUAGAUACCCUGGUAGUCCACGCCGUAAACGAUGAGUGCUAGUUGUUUGGGGCUAUCCAGCCCUAAGUGACGCAGCAAACGCAUUAAGCACUCCGCCUGGGGAGUACGACCGCAAGGUUGAAACUCAAAGGAAUUGACGGAAGGGC